AGAGUUUGAUCAUGGCUCAGAACGAACGCUGGCGGCAUGCCUAAAACAUGCAAGUCGAACGGGUGUAGCAAUACACCAGUGGCAGACGGGUGCGUAACACGUGGGAACCUGCCCAGAGGUUCGGAAUAGCUGCGGGAAACUGCAGGUAAUACCGAAUGUCGCCUGAGGGCUAAAGGAGCAAUUCGCCUUUGGAGGGGCCCGCGUCCGAUUAGCUAGUUGGUGAGGUAACGGCUCACCAAGGCUACGAUCGGUAGCUGGUCUGAGAGGAUGACCAGCCACACUGGAACUGAGAUACGGUCCAGACUCCUACGGGAGGCAGCAGUUGGGAAUAUUGGACAAUGGGGGAAACCCUGAUCCAGCAAUGCCGCGUGGGUGAUGAAGGCCUUCGGGUUGUAAAGCCCUUUUGGCGGGGACGAUGAUGACGGUACCCGCAGAAUAAGCCCCGGCUAACUUCGUGCCAGCAGCCGCGGUAAUACGAAGGGGGCUAGCGUUGUUCGGAAUUACUGGGCGUAAAGGGCGCGUAGGCGGCUGUGCAAGUCAGGUGUGAAAGCCCUGGGCUCAACCCAGGAUGUGCACUUGAUACUGCGCGGCUAGAGUGUCGGAGAGGAUGGUGGAAUUCCCAGUGUAGAGGUGAAAUUCGUAGAUAUUGGGAAGAACACCGGUGGCGAAGGCGACCAUCUGGACGACAACUGACGCUGAGGCGCGAAAGCGUGGGGAGCAAACAGGAUUAGAUACCCUAGUAGUCC
Molecule: ribosomal RNA, 746 nt
Filed under: uncultured bacterium
Lineage: Bacteria
Description: bacterial SSU rRNA
Rfam family: Bacterial small subunit ribosomal RNA
Source: RNAcentral